UUUAAUCAUUGUACUGAUCUGAGGAUUGAAAGCAAUAUUCUUCCAUUUCAACUUGGCCCGUGGAAGAGACAGCAGUGUGCAAUUCCGUUCGUUAAAUCUCGAGUAUUCUAAAAGUGAGCACACUUAGCUCAAUUUAAAUUCAAGAUUUUAAAUUCCUAAUUAUCCCUCCAGUGGAUUGAGCAAAAAUAUUUGGAGGUAGCUCCACUUCUGACCCCACGACUUCGUUGGAAUUGGCCCUCUCCGUCAACACGAGGGCCCCAUCAAUUCUCGCGCUCCCGGCGGCUCAUCAUCCAGCGGAAGUUCAUCGUUCGUUUUAUCAUCCCUUAUUUAACCAGAUACACACUACAACUUGGCGCAGCUUUGUCGACACCACACCGAAUGGGUUAUUUGAACUGAUUAAGAACUGAAGAUUACCUACGAAUUAGAAAAUCAUUGUGAUUCAUGUGAAAUUGACGUUAAUUUUGUAAAGGAGUAAGAGUUUUUCCAUCUGAUUCUAUAGUUAUGAAACACUGGAAUUUCAGUUUUCUGAAUGUUUCGCGCCUGGACACAACAAUAAAGUUUAAAUGGCCAGUUUUAUAAAUGAAGAUAGCUAUUAUCCCCUAUACCAGGGGCGGCCAAACUUUUGUGCAUUACGGGCGACUAAUUGUUUAAAUGUUAUGCGGGCGCUACACGAUUCGUCCAACGUUUCACUCGAACGUUGGACUCAAACAUUUGACUCGAUGAAUCGACAACACGGUGAAGUGAAUGUUCGAUUCAAUGCAAUCGGUCCAAAAAAUCGGCGAGUAUUUGGAUCGAAUGUUUAUUGUUUUUAUUUAUCAUCAAAAACGUUAGGAAACUGGAUGACGAUGCGAGUAUUGAAAUUGCUGCCGUAGUAAUUGUACUAAUAUCGGGCUGUAAAUUAGAAAUGCUCGAAUGCAUUUCAUAUAGCGAAUUCCUUUUUAAAACUGAGUCAGUGCCAAACUGACUCUGUAAUAAAAAAACGUUUUCAGUUUCACGAAUGCGGUGAUUUGUUGGUGUGCGUUAUAUAGUCUGAUUUGUUUAUAUUUACGACGGUAAAUGUACAGUGUCGACGUCUGGUGGUGAUAUUAGUGCUUGGGAGGUAAGUUGUUCUCCAUCAGAUCAGAAGGGCCAAGUGCAGUGUAAACAUAUAAAAGUUUGAAUGAAAAUUUCUACUUAAUAUUGUUUGAUUACCUAACACAUGUAGUUCUGACACUCACUUAACCAUUUGUCGAUGCAUUUCCUGUUUGUUCCACAAAUAAUUACUAUUAUAAUAUAAAACCAUCAUUAGACACAGUUUUCGUUCAAUAUUCUGCGAUAUCGGAAAAAAACUUUUAUUUAAUCACAUAAAAUAAAUAUUCGAUACGUUAAAGUAAAUUUUCAUUCAUAUUUUUGAUUUUGAAAUGUAUUCCACCUGAAUAUCCAUCAUUAUUUUCACCUCCCUACUCUACUCUUCAAAAUCAGAAUCCGAAUUGGAUUACGAUUCCAAUAAUACAAAAGCAAAAGCAGCAGGUUUUCCAUUUUCAUAGUCUUUAUUUUUAGAUUUUCCAAAACAAUAUUCGGAACUUGACAGUUCAGUAUAGUUGUAUUGGUGAGCCCGAGUGCCAACCCGUGAAACAUCUCAGUGCGAAACUAACAGCUUUCGGGGCGAACUAGUGCGACACUGAGUGCGAAACUGAGUGAAUAAAAAAACGUUUUGACAGCAGUUAGUGCGGCACUGGGGUUGAAACUGAACAAAAACGAAUUUGCUAAUAGUCCUUCAUCUAAAACUUGUAAACAAACCAAUCUGUCAAAGGUAGAUUCGGACGAAUCGUGUAGCGCUGUAUCGAAUGUCAUCGAGUGUCGAAUCAACGAAUGACAAAAAUCCUUUGACUCGUGCCACUCGCGUUGGAAGGUAAUCCACAACGAACGGAUUACCUUCCAACGCGAAUAUUCGACACUCGACAUUGGAGGUUCGUAGCUCGUCAGUCGACUACACGAUGCGUCGAAUCAUCGAGCGUCCAGCAUUCGAGGGUGUUCGUAGCAUCGUGUAGCGCUGGCUUUAGGAUGCGAUCCAACGUCGAAUGUAUCAAAAAUACAUUAAAAAUUGAAUAAAUAAAUAAAACAAAGU
Toxorhynchites rutilus septentrionalis is the source of this 2107-nucleotide long non-coding RNA. RefSeq lists it as uncharacterized. Lineage: Eukaryota; Metazoa; Arthropoda; Insecta; Diptera; Culicidae. The transcript has 3 exons. The record is from RefSeq and is a predicted model, not a curated record.